Molecule: microRNA precursor, 206 nt
Organism: Oryza sativa Indica Group (long-grained rice)
Lineage: Eukaryota; Viridiplantae; Streptophyta; Magnoliopsida; Poales; Poaceae
Rfam family: MIR812 microRNA precursor family
Source: Rfam
UAUAAGUGCAACCAUAAGUUUCCGCGCCCAACUUUGAUCGUUCGUCUUAUUUAAAUUUUUUUUAUAAUUAGUAUUUAUAUUGUUAUGAGAUGAUAAAACAUGAAUAGUACUUUACUCGUAACUUAUGUUUUUAAAUUUUUUUAAAUUUUUUUCAAGAUAAAACGGACGAUCAAAGUUGGGCGCGAAAAACCAUGGCUGCACUUAUA